Mytilus californianus (California mussel) is the source of this 133-nucleotide long non-coding RNA. RefSeq lists it as uncharacterized. The record is from RefSeq and is a predicted model, not a curated record. NCBI's taxonomy places the organism in Eukaryota, Metazoa, Mollusca, Bivalvia, Mytilida, Mytilidae. The transcript has 3 exons.
CAGCUUCAGAGCACACCUUACUCUAGGUGUUCUCUGUCAACAAUAGCUACAGUACAGUCAACCACUGUUUACAGCUUCAGAGCACACCUUACUCUAGGUGUUCUCUGUCAACAAUAGCUACAGUACAGUCAAC